Long non-coding RNA from Rosa rugosa (rugosa rose), 5095 nucleotides. RefSeq lists it as uncharacterized. NCBI's taxonomy places the organism in Eukaryota, Viridiplantae, Streptophyta, Magnoliopsida, Rosales, Rosaceae. The transcript has 8 exons. The record is from RefSeq and is a predicted model, not a curated record.
ACUUGAAACUUGAAGUGUGCCAGUUUUGGUGGUCUAAAUGGUGGUUUAUAUUUAGACCAAGAAAUGGACUUUAGACAUCCAUGGAGCAUUUUUGUAAUAGACCCAAUCCAUGAUUGGAGAUGGGUUUUGCUCAACCAUGGUCUAAAACAUGGACUUUGAACUUUCUAUUGGAGAUAGCCUAAGAUGUCUUCAACGCUAUCUGCGCCACACCCAGCCUUCUUGACUACGUCAAUGCAGCCUCCUCGCGUCAAACGGGUAUUCUGCUCUGGGCACCCAUGGGCUAAUGUCCGCGUUAACUAACAAAGCCUCCGCCACAACUUUCAGAGAGUUUAUCCGUCACAGCCUCUUACUUCCAUAGCGUUAAGAGCAGCAGCGUUGGUGUCACACUCCGCCAAGCGACAAAAGCCAAGCCAAGCCUCCGCCAACCCGCUGGCCAAAGCUCCGCUACCAUUGGCCGAACCUCCGCUAGCUAAAGCUCUGCUACCGCUGGCCGAACUUCUGCUGGCCAAAGCUGCAGCUCCGCUAGCCAGGCCUCCACCAACCUGCUAGACAGAGGUCCAAAUUGUGCGCACACCCACGGCUCUCUUCAUUGAGUCUCCACUCUCCACUAUUAUGCCUGCGUACAAAGCUCUGCCGCCAUUCCAAUUUUGUACUCAACCUGCAAGCAUAAUUCGUGGUCGUCGACCCACUCAAAAACUAGGAUACAAUUCAGCUCUCAGUGGUGUAGCGCCUUCAAACAUCGAGUGCCUUUGAGCCGUACAGAGAUAAGCUCCCUUGUUCAUGUCAUUAUUAUCCAGUAGUUAAAUAAACUUCACGUGCUACGGAUUACAUCAACCACACAUGUCCACAUAUGUGUGCACAUGACCUGCUAAGCAUUCUUUGCCAUAUCUCAUAUUUCACUUAUAAUCCGCUAUACUCCACGAUCAAGUGCCAUGCACUAACAACAUGAGACACUGGUCUGCCUAUGUAUCUAUUCAGCUACUUGUCAUAGGCAUCUUGAUUUAUAUUCAUUAUUAUGUCUGUCUCCCGAACAAAGUCACUACACCAUUUACUUUCUCUUGUUUUUCAUUUGAAUUGAAGACCAACUCAUAUAGCCAUUACAUAUGUAUACAUACAUAUCAAAAAAGACAAAUUUCCAUAUGGCCGCUGCAUGUAUAUUAAAGACUUGGCUCACUUAUUUAAGAGAGUGCCAUGUAUCCAUGCCUUUCUUUUAUGCAAUUAUAAUGGAUUCCAGGAAUGCAUACCUCUUAUUCUUCCAGCAGCUACACAUAUGUACCAUGCAUCUAUGCCUUGACAAAGCUCAUUUAUCUCAAAUAGCAUGAAACACUUGAACACUUUGUCUGUACACAUGCUACACAUAUAUGUCGAUGCUCUGUCCAUAUUCUUUCAUGGUUGAUUUGCUAGCCACAUAUAAGAGAUCCAUACAUGACUCAUUACCUACUGCCACAGCAUGCUAUACUUGUCCUUCUAUGCACACAUAACACACAACCACAUAAUUAUGCUUCACUGCCAAAGCAUCUAAUGGUAAUUGGUAUGCUGUACAUGCCCUUUGUCUCACUAUUGACAUUCAGAAUCUCUCUCAGGCAAAUUUCUGGCUUCAUUUAUGCACAUAGGAUUAUCAAGAUCUGCAUGUCAUAAUUUUUCAAUUGGUUUGGAUCCUUAUUACUCAUCGACCCAGCCUACGUAUUAUCUGAUCCUCAAAUAGUGAAUACGUAUUCCACUUUUGCCAUCAUUGACAAAAGCUCUAAAUUUCGUGCUCCCCGUUUACGCAAUUGUAGUGAAAUCCAAGCAUAUCUCUUGUUCUUCUAGUAAGAACAAGACAGAAUUCUUCAGACCUUCGGAGUUUUAAAGGGCUAAUCAGGCUAUUAAUCCUACAAUUUCAAAUGCCCAUAAGUCCCAUGCUUAAAUGGUUCAUUUAAAUUACCUGUCAGUAUUUGACAUCCGUAAGUACAUAUAAUCAAUGUCACUCUACUACGUGAUUUUUACAUUUGCUUCAUUGAUACACUAGUCAAUACUAAGCACACUUACAUAUCUCUAGGCUUCUGUUGUUAACAUUGAGAAUGUUCAAAUCAGGUCUAUUGUAUCUCACAUAUAUGCUCCUAUGACCAUACCUCAUUAUCCAAUAGAUACGCACAUUUGACAUGUUAAAACUCCAUCGAAAAUUCUUCUCUAAAUUUCAUUGCCAAUUUGAAAUUCAUGUUAGAAGCAUACAAUCAAACAUGUCAUCAACUACUACAUCGCUUAUACACCUUGCUUAAUAUCUUAUCGAAGUACAUAAGCUAUUAGUGUUGAUUUUACAUACUCAUGUACUAAUCACCUAUUUUGUUUCAAGGGGACAUAAUCACCAAUCACCUCUCCAAUUAACGAAAUCAUCAUCAUUCUACUAAGGUGCUUCGCCGGAGUAAUGGAGCGUCAUGCUUGGACAACUCCAACAUGAUUUGGGUACUUAUGUAAAUUCCAAACUCCAACUCACUCCAAAUCGGCAUAAGAUAAGUAAAAUGUUAUAUCUCAAUACACACUCAUACAAUUAGAGCUAUUGCCAUGCCUUUACAUGCUUUUACUACUUCUAAGCAUGCCUACAAUAUAUCUCACUUAAUAUGCAUUUACAUGCUUCUAUGACUUUAAGCAUGCGUACACUAUGUAUCAAUGUUACUAGUACGUCUACCAUGGUAGUUAUGCCAUGCUUUAUGUCUCCAUGACCUCUAAGCAUAUUUACAACAAUAUCAAAAAUGUUAUUAACAACUUUAUUACUAGUACAUGUUAUACACAUGCCAUGCUUAAAUCAAUUUAAUGUGACACUCAUUUAAACAAACUAUGCCAUUGUUUCAGUUGUCUAGAGAGGAGUUCGAUCCAGCUGAACACAUGAUGUAUCGGUUUGCUACUACCACUAUCGGUCUUGCUUAUCUGCAAAACAGACGAAGGUCAGAGGGAAGACCGGGUGUGCCGGCCUUCAACGCUCCGAUGCCUAAGUCAGUAUUGUGUAAGAUAAUAAUAAUGGAAAGUGAUAGUAAACAGUUACCUCUUUGGGUUGUUGGAGAUGACCUUAAUGUAGCAGAUUUAUGGGAGCUUGGUUCCAUUUCUUCGGUGUGGGACGCUUGGGGUCCCCGAUAUCGCCCCGAGGGGUAUCGGGACCCUCGGCUGGGAGCUUACCUCGCUUGUGUAUUGGCGAUACGAGUCUUGUGCUUCUGAUACUUGUGCUUAGGAGGUAUGUGCAUACCAACAGCCACAUCUAAAAGCUUGUGACACUUAUGACUUAAUUAAACAUGCUUGGAUAACGACUUGCUUGGGUUACGACUCGCUUGGGUAUCGAACAUGGCCAUGACUUGCUUGGGUCACGCCCCGUAUGCUUGCACAACGCCUACCCGCUCAGCUACACCAAACUUGCUCGAACAUAACCUAACUCACUCAAACAUAUCCAACAUGCUUUAGUUAAGCUCUAGGUUCACAAUGCUUCAUAGCUUUCAUCGGAAGCUACUCCCAAAAUUUUAUAUGGACACCCAUCACACUUGCAAUUAUCUAAUAUGCAUGUCACAUGGCCAUAAGAUCCAUAUAUUAUUACUUGCUAGCUAUACUUAUUUGUCAUUGUUCAUACAAUUACAAACUUUACAUGUACUCUAUAUGUAAACAUAUGGUCUAGCCUCCGGGCACCAUACUCUGUCAAACUUUCCCCACGGGAAAAAGAUCUAAACAGGUCUAGACUCCAAGAGUCUAUGGUCCACGACCAACCGCCAAGCGGUAAGGCUAUGCCUUAUAAUGACGAUGACCGCUACGCGUACAGUUUAGUUUGCACCAAGACUUGGAACCCACUGCUUCCUCUUCUCUUAGUUUGAGUUUCUCCCGCACCAUUCAACAGCAAAACCUCUCAAAUCUUUCUCCAGCCAUCGAUGUCAACCCUUGAAAGAUUAUGUUCGGGCUGUUUAAUCUAUUAAGGCCACCAUAGCUGAGAGAGCAAAUGCCUUCAGGCGACAGUGUUGCUGUCUGAAACUGCUGUUAGGCUGGUGUAUUUGUAUGUGAACAACAUUUAAGUAGUGGCUACUGUCAAUCUGUUGUUUAAAUAAAACAAAAUUGGUUCAGAAAAAAAGAAUUGCAAAAUAGUGUAGAUGACAACCAUUUCAUUUAACUGAAGUAGGACUUGGCUACAUUGGUAACAAAACCUCAAUUUGGAGCCACUGCUUACCAAGAAAGUUUCUGGGUUUACUUCCUAUACAAUAAUAUCUCAGUUUAAGGCAAGAUCUGAAAAGACCCAAGAUUUUACGAGAAAAAGAUGAGUGAGUGUGAAAAUGGAGUACAGGAAGCUCAAAGAUUAGGAUGAAAAUGGAAAUUCAGUUGCCGACGACAUAAAAAAUUUACGGGGAACGCCGCUUUCUAUUGCGCCAACUAUGGGAGAGCGACCAAUAGACUGAAAAUGGAAGCACAAGUAUGAUUGAAGUAGAGGAGCUUCAGCCAUAUUCACAUGAGGGAACAAUGAUGACCCACAUUGAUACCAUAUUCAAGUAUGCUAUUGAUUUAUUUUGAUUGAGGUGAGAGGGAAUCUAGAAGACAAUUAUCUCAGUUCUUGAUAGUGCUCAUGGCCUCUGUAAGUGUGGCUCCUUCAUCUGGAUUAGGAGACGGCAGUGGAAAUACGGUUGCCCAGUGAGAUGAAUAACAUGAAAAUUAGGGAUGACAAGUUAUGACUGAUGGAGUUGGUCUCUGGUCUUGGUGGCUGAAAUUUUUUUUGUUACAGUGUACUGAAUGUAGCCAUUGAGGUAAUUGUUGUGUUGGCCUGCUGUUCAAAUUCUUUGUUACAACUUCAGCAAUUAAGCUAUUUUUUCAUUCUAGGAGUUGACCUGGCUUAUAUGCUCAUUGGUAUUGAAAAGAGACACCUACCUGAAGCAUAGCCGGAAGCAAAAUUGAGCUGUGAAAAUCUUAAUCAAAGAUUAUGUAGUGAAACCUUGAAUGGCAGGAGACACGAUGAUUUAGGUAAGACACGUUCUCAUGAAACUUGCAGUUUAUAAUGCAGAAGCAGGGGAGGAUUCUGAUAUUAUACUUAAAUACCAGCUUUUGUAAUAUGUAAAGUUAUGACAUUCACCAAUAAACGUUUCUUAGUUUAUGGUUC